This 1476-nucleotide ribosomal RNA is filed under the name Lacticaseibacillus rhamnosus. RNAcentral describes it as "bacterial SSU rRNA". It matches the Rfam family "Bacterial small subunit ribosomal RNA". Lineage: Bacteria; Bacillati; Bacillota; Bacilli; Lactobacillales; Lactobacillaceae. The record is from RNAcentral.
ACCGGGGGGGGGGUGCCUAUACAUGCAAGUCGAACGAGUUCUGAUUAUUGAAAGGUGCUUGCAUCUUGAUUUAAUUUUGAACGAGUGGCGGACGGGUGAGUAACACGUGGGUAACCUGCCCUUAAGUGGGGGAUAACAUUUGGAAACAGAUGCUAAUACCGCAUAAAUCCAAGAACCGCAUGGUUCUUGGCUGAAAGAUGGCGUAAGCUAUCGCUUUUGGAUGGACCCGCGGCGUAUUAGCUAGUUGGUGAGGUAACGGCUCACCAAGGCAAUGAUACGUAGCCGAACUGAGAGGUUGAUCGGCCACAUUGGGACUGAGACACGGCCCAAACUCCUACGGGAGGCAGCAGUAGGGAAUCUUCCACAAUGGACGCAAGUCUGAUGGAGCAACGCCGCGUGAGUGAAGAAGGCUUUCGGGUCGUAAAACUCUGUUGUUGGAGAAGAAUGGUCGGCAGAGUAACUGUUGUCGGCGUGACGGUAUCCAACCAGAAAGCCACGGCUAACUACGUGCCAGCAGCCGCGGUAAUACGUAGGUGGCAAGCGUUAUCCGGAUUUAUUGGGCGUAAAGCGAGCGCAGGCGGUUUUUUAAGUCUGAUGUGAAAGCCCUCGGCUUAACCGAGGAAGUGCAUCGGAAACUGGGAAACUUGAGUGCAGAAGAGGACAGUGGAACUCCAUGUGUAGCGGUGAAAUGCGUAGAUAUAUGGAAGAACACCAGUGGCGAAGGCGGCUGUCUGGUCUGUAACUGACGCUGAGGCUCGAAAGCAUGGGUAGCGAACAGGAUUAGAUACCCUGGUAGUCCAUGCCGUAAACGAUGAAUGCUAGGUGUUGGAGGGUUUCCGCCCUUCAGUGCCGCAGCUAACGCAUUAAGCAUUCCGCCUGGGGAGUACGACCGCAAGGUUGAAACUCAAAGGAAUUGACGGGGGCCCGCACAAGCGGUGGAGCAUGUGGUUUAAUUCGAAGCAACGCGAAGAACCUUACCAGGUCUUGACAUCUUUUGAUCACCUGAGAGAUCAGGUUUCCCCUUCGGGGGCAAAAUGACAGGUGGUGCAUGGUUGUCGUCAGCUCGUGUCGUGAGAUGUUGGGUUAAGUCCCGCAACGAGCGCAACCCUUAUGACUAGUUGCCAGCAUUUAGUUGGGCACUCUAGUAAGACUGCCGGUGACAAACCGGAGGAAGGUGGGGAUGACGUCAAAUCAUCAUGCCCCUUAUGACCUGGGCUACACACGUGCUACAAUGGAUGGUACAACGAGUUGCGAGACCGCGAGGUCAAGCUAAUCUCUUAAAGCCAUUCUCAGUUCGGACUGUAGGCUGCAACUCGCCUACACGAAGUCGGAAUCGCUAGUAAUCGCGGAUCAGCACGCCGCGGUGAAUACGUUCCCGGGCCUUGUACACACCGCCCGUCACACCAUGAGAGUUUGUAACACCCGAAGCCGGUGGCGUAACCCUUUUAGGGAGCGAGCCGUCUAAGGGGACAAAAA